Pogonomyrmex barbatus (red harvester ant) is the source of this 917-nucleotide long non-coding RNA. NCBI's taxonomy places the organism in Eukaryota, Metazoa, Arthropoda, Insecta, Hymenoptera, Formicidae. The record is from RefSeq and is a predicted model, not a curated record.
UUAAAUAAAUGAAUAUAUAUAGAAAAAUUCACUGGGUGCAAACAUCGAUGGAUUCAGCUUUGAAAUGUCCGCUACUUUCGAAUGUGAAACGUUGUUCGAUCGCAAAUAUGCAUUGCUGUAAUUCUGUUGAUAGACUUUUAAGAUUUGCUUAAGCAUAAUUGACGUUAACCGACGGAAUUAUUCUUCCAUAAUUUAUGGACUCAUUGAAUUGGAAAGUACUUGUGCGAUCUCAAAAAACAGGAUUGCCUUUGGGAAUUUGAAACGAUGCAGACGUUACAAUGUGUUGUUUAUCAUCAAAUGCACCAUACGACAUCCAUAAUGUGAUGGUGCAUUUCAUUACACGUACGACUGGCGGGCAAAGAGGCCAUGGCUGUUUUAUAAGAUUUACACGAAAAAGCUACAUGCGCUUGAGGAUUAAAAAAAAAAGCACAUAAGAAGAUCUGAGAUGCAUACAAAAGGUUUUCUCUUAGAUGCGUUUUCUACAUUCUCUGCAUUUAAAUGAAACAGGUACAGAGCCAGACAGAGAAAUUAUAACACCCAUAAACUAAAUUGUCUAGCAACAUUGCACGAAUGUAAUACUGCUAAUACAUGUAUACGGGAAAAAUUAUUUGGUUGAUUGUAUCAAAAUUCUGUUUUAAAAUAGACAAAUUAGAAAUUAGAAAUUCAUUAAAGUUAUUAGAAUUUAAAGUAACGCAAUUUCUCGUAAAUUCAAUAAACUUCUAGUUAAUUUAAACAAAAAUCUAUCAGUCAUUUCAAUCGAAAUAUAUCUGAUUUGUCUAUUUUUAACCAGAAUUUCUUUUUUCAUGUAAAUUGUACGGUAUUGCAGAAAAGCAUAGUAUGUGAAAAAAUAAUGAAGGUUUAUGUAUUCAAAUGUGAUCGUUAUAAACCUUAUUAAACUAAUAAUAUUAAGACAACAU